This is a transfer RNA of Coccomyxa subellipsoidea C-169, 73 nucleotides long. It matches the Rfam family "tRNA". Rfam says of the family: Transfer RNA (tRNA) molecules are approximately 80 nucleotides in length. Their secondary structure includes four short double-helical elements and three loops (D, anti-codon, and T loops). Further hydrogen bonds mediate the characteristic L-shaped molecular structure. tRNAs have two regions of fundamental functional importance: the anti-codon, which is responsible for specific mRNA codon recognition, and the 3' end, to which the tRNAs corresponding amino acid is attached (by aminoacyl-tRNA synthetases). tRNAs cope with the degeneracy of the genetic code in two manners: having more than one tRNA (with a specific anti-codon) for a particular amino acid; and 'wobble' base-pairing, i.e. permitting non-standard base-pairing at the 3rd anti-codon position. The record is from Rfam. NCBI's taxonomy places the organism in Eukaryota, Viridiplantae, Chlorophyta, Trebouxiophyceae, Coccomyxaceae.
UCUCCCUUAACUCAGUCGGUAGAGUGUGGUGCUUAUGACGCCAAGGUCGCGGGUUCGAGCCCCGCAGGGAGAA